GUCAGGGAGGAGCUAAGCUGUUAAUGAACUAUAGAAGAGAGAGGAACUUCUCUAUUUAACAGAGUUCAAUACACAAUCCAUCAACAUUACCUUUAUUCAACAUGCUGUCACUGCAGCAUUGUGUGUUUUCUCUGAUGUUUCUCUCCAUCCUCACAGGUGUCAGCUGUGAAGAACUCACUCCAGUAGAGAAAGAAAAGGACAGUUUAGAAGGCAGCUCUGUUACUCUAUCCUACAGAUACUCCAAACAAGCGACUGGUGGUGAUCAGUUUUACUGGUAUCGACAAUAUCCAGGAAAACCACCAGAGUUCAUCAUCUUUCACUUGGGAACGCAAAAUGAAACAAACUCUAGACUGUCUGUUUCCUUGAGUGAGGAUAAAACCAAAAUUAUUCUUCAGAUCUCCUCUGCUGCAGUGACAGACUCUGCUCUGUACUACUGUGCUGUGAGGCCCACAGUGACAGCAAACCCACAGUCUCUGUACAAAAACACAAGCUGACACACUGACAAGCUGCUGGAAGACUUUUUUCUACACUGUUGUACUGAACUUUGUACCUCCACUAGAGGGCAACAUUAUCAAGUAGGAGGUGCACUACUUCUGCACUGUGUUCAACCAUUCAGUCAAUAAUAAGUGCUGCUGUGAAGAGAACAAUUCUCAGACUGAAUGUUGAA
This is a non-coding RNA of Sander lucioperca (pikeperch), 667 nucleotides long. The record is from the annotation of a RefSeq genome assembly. Lineage: Eukaryota; Metazoa; Chordata; Actinopteri; Perciformes; Percidae.